AUGGGUUCAAUUCGUACCUGUUGUAAAGGAGCACCACCAAAAACCACCAACUCAGAGCCUACCGAUGGUGGAAAACCACUAGUAGCAGUCGCACAGUCCUCAGCCCUAUUUUGAUCGAACUUUGAAUUGUAGCAGCAAAUUGUCGCUCUGAAACAAAGAGGGAAACCACCUAAAACCACCACUCCGUCCACCAAGUAUAGAACAGCGAAAGAGAUG
This 216-nucleotide long non-coding RNA is filed under the name Helianthus annuus (common sunflower). Its description in RNAcentral is "hypothetical non coding rna". The record is from RNAcentral. Lineage: Eukaryota; Viridiplantae; Streptophyta; Magnoliopsida; Asterales; Asteraceae.